GCAUAUCAAUAAGCGGAGGAAAAGAAACCAACAGGGAUUGCCCUAGUAACGGCGAGUGAAGCGGCAACAGCUCAAAUUUGAAAGCUGGCCUUCGGGUCCGCAUUGUAAUUUGUAGAGGAUGCUUUGGGUGAAACGCCAGUCUAAGUUCCUUGGAACAGGACGUCAUAGAGGGUGAGAAUCCCGUAUGUGACUGGAAAUGUUAACCUAUGUAAAGCUCCUUCGACGAGUCGAGUUGUUUGGGAAUGCAGCUCUAAAUGGGAGGUAAAUUUCUUCUAAAGCUAAAUAUUGGCGAGAGACCGAUAGCGCACAAGUAGAGUGAUCGAAAGAUGAAAAGCACUUUGGAAAGAGAGUUAAAAAGCACGUGAAAUUGUUGAAAGGGAAGCGCUUGCAAUCAGACUUGUUUAAACUGUUCGGCCGGUCUUCUGACCGGUUUACUCAGUUUGGACAGGCCAGCAUCAGUUUCGGCGGCCGGAUAAAGGCUCUGGGAAUGUGGCCUUCACUUCGGUGAAGGUGUUAUAGCCCAGGGUGUAAUACGGCCAGCCGGGACUGAGGUCCGCGCUUCGGCUAGGAUGCUGGCGUAAUGGUUGUAAGCGACCCGUCUUGA
RNAcentral lists this ribosomal RNA (604 nucleotides) under Aureobasidium pullulans. RNAcentral describes it as "eukaryotic LSU rRNA". It matches the Rfam family "Eukaryotic large subunit ribosomal RNA", at positions 38 to 657 of the family's 3401-position model. Lineage: Eukaryota; Fungi; Ascomycota; Dothideomycetes; Dothideales; Saccotheciaceae. The record is from RNAcentral.